UAGGGAAUCUUCGGCAAUGGACGAAAGCCUGAUCCAGCAACGCCGCGUGAGCGAAGAAGGGUUUCGGAUCGUAAAACUCUGUUGUUAGAGAAGAACAAGGACGAGAGCAGAAUGUUCAUCGUUUGAUGGUAACUAACCAGAAAGCCACGGCUAACUACGUGCCAGCAGCCGCGGUAAUACGUAGGUGGCAAGCGUUGUCCGGAUUUAUUGGGCGUAAAGCGAGCGCAGGCGGUUUGUUAAGUCUGGUGUGAAAGCCCCCGGCUCAACCGGGGAGGGUCAUUGGAAACUGGGAGACUUGAGUGCAGAAGGGGAGGGUGGAAUUCCAUGUGUAGUGGUGAAAUGCGUAGAUAUAUGGAGGAACACCAGUGGCGAAGGCGGCUCUCUGGUCUGUAACUGACGCUGAGGCUCGAAAGCGUGGGGAGCAAACAGG
This 430-nucleotide ribosomal RNA is filed under the name Fusobacteriota bacterium. RNAcentral's name for it is "Fusobacteria bacterium partial 16S ribosomal RNA". It matches the Rfam family "Bacterial small subunit ribosomal RNA", at positions 355 to 776 of the family's 1533-position model. Lineage: Bacteria; Fusobacteriati; Fusobacteriota. The record is from RNAcentral.